RNAcentral lists this long non-coding RNA (459 nucleotides) under Mytilus galloprovincialis (Mediterranean mussel). The record is from RNAcentral. Lineage: Eukaryota; Metazoa; Mollusca; Bivalvia; Mytilida; Mytilidae.
UUCGGGGCAGCAACCCAACAACCGGUUGUCCGAUUCAUUUGAAAGUUUCAGGGCAGAUAGAUUUUCACUUCAUGAAUAAUUUUACCCAUGUCAGAUUUGCUCUAAAUGCUUUGGUUUCAGAGAUAUAAGCCAAAAUCUACAUUUCACCCCUAUGUUCUAUUUUUAGCCAUGGCGGCCAUCUUGGUUGGUUGGCCGGGUCACGCCACACAUUUUUUAAACUAGAUACCCCAAAGAUGAUUGUGGCCAAGUUUGGAUUAAUUUGGCCCAGUAGUUUCAGAGGAGAAGAUUUUUGUAAUAGAUUACUAAGAUUUACGAAAAAUGGUUAAAAAUUGACUAUAAAGGGCAAUAACUCCUAAAGGGGUCAACUGACCAUUUCAGUCAUGUUGACUUAUUUGUAAAUCUUUGCAUUUUUUAAACUAGAUACCCCAAUGAUAAUUGUGGCCAAGUUUGGUUUAAUUU